Molecule: ribosomal RNA, 305 nt
Filed under: uncultured bacterium
Lineage: Bacteria
Description: bacterial SSU rRNA
Rfam family: Bacterial small subunit ribosomal RNA
Source: RNAcentral
UUCCUACGGGAGGCAGCAGUGGGGAAUAUUGCACAAUGGGGGAAACCCUGAUGCAGCAACGCCGCGUGAGUGAAGAAGUCAUUCGUGAUGUAAAGCUCUAUCAGCAGGGAAGAAAAUGACGGUACCUGAGUAAGAAGCCCCGGCUAACUACGUGCCAGCAGCCGCGGUAAUACGUAGGGGGCUAGCGUUAUCCGGAAUUACUGGGCGUAAAGGGUGCGUAGGUGGUUUCUUAAGUCAGAGGUGAAAGGCUACGGCUCAACCGUAGUAAGCCUUUGAAACUGGGGAACUUGAGUGCAGAAGAGGAG